Molecule: non-coding RNA, 729 nt
Organism: Phoenix dactylifera (date palm)
Lineage: Eukaryota; Viridiplantae; Streptophyta; Magnoliopsida; Arecales; Arecaceae
Source: RefSeq, a predicted model, not a curated record
AUUCUAUUAAUGGGCUUUACAUUGCCUAACACUUUCUUAUCUUUUUCAGAGACAACAUUAGCUUUGCUUCGACAUCCAGAUUGUUGUAUUUCUGCCUACUCAUUGUGGAUGUAAAACGGACUAUAGAAGAUGGGGAGAACGUUUCAAUAACUUUCAAUUGAGGGAGGGUAAAUUUGAUGAAGAGACACUUGUCAUGUAAACAUUUAGAGGGAAAAACGCCAGCCAGAGAUCAAAGGGUUUCAGCAAUGAGUAUAUUGUGAUUACAAUUCUGGUUGCUGCUGAGGGUGUAUAUAAGCUACCUGUUAUUAAUGGGAGUGCAGACUUGAAGGAGGCACUGCAAAAGCUGGCAUCUAUACCUUCCCGCCAAACUCUGGCUGUCGAGGUGCUGUGGACCCCAGAAUGAAACUGGCACACUUUCAGAGGGGAGCUGCUUGAAGACUACCCCCUCUUGAGGCCGUUGUAAGGGGAAUUAUUUGUUCUGUCUGUAAGGUGCUCUGAGCUGCUCUUUAUAGCCAUGUGGUUCAUGUAAACAAAAAAUGUUAAUAGAUAAGCAUGCCCAAAUUCUAGGAUAUGCAGUCUCACAAAAUGGAGGAUUUUUCUAAUAGAGGACCUGUAGAACUCUUGCGACAGUCAUUUGUUACAAUAUGUUAGGUUUUGGAGCACUGCUAGCAUACCAGUAAUAUGUGAGUGUAGUUAUUCAUAUUCUUGGCUUGGUUUUGUUGAUUCUAA